This is an RNA transcript of Impatiens glandulifera, 3918 nucleotides long. It is a transcript of the gene named LRR receptor-like serine/threonine-protein kinase GHR1, with no coding region annotated. The transcript is spliced from 5 exons. The record is from RefSeq and is a predicted model, not a curated record. Lineage: Eukaryota; Viridiplantae; Streptophyta; Magnoliopsida; Ericales; Balsaminaceae.
UUUCUUUACACGACCCCCAGUAACCCACCAUCUACCUAACAUCCCAAGAUCUCUCAUCUGCUUGCUUCUUCACUUCCAGAUUAGCUUUCUUUUCUCUAUCUGACCUUCUUCUUGCUCACUUUCCUCUUGAAGAUUCGUCCUUUAUUGGGUCAAUCUUACUAUAAGUAAUCUGGGUUUGUUACCAUUUCACUCUCCAUAGUCGCCAUUCUCGCAUUUACCUUCUUCUUCUUCUUAUUGUUGUUAUGCGAAGAUUAAACCCUUUUCUGCAUUUGCUCUUUGAAGAUGUAGUAGGUUUCUUGUAAGUCUUCUUCUUCUUCCUUAGGAAUGAUUGGAUCGUUUACCAAUUCUAUCCUUUCCUUUUUUUCCUUCUCGUUAUUGGUUUGCAAUAAAUGCAAUAUGGGUCCUUGUAUUGAUAUUGUUUGAGCUGUAGUUGAUCUGGUAAUUAAUUUCUGUGAAUUUGUGUACUUGGUUUUGGUUGAGCUUUCAAUUUCCAAUUAUUGGGCAAAAUUGUCUAUCUCUCUUGAAGUUGCAUUUUGGUUCAGAUUUAUCUCAUCGGUUCUACUGUUGGGCAUUGAAUUCGUUAGCCAUAUAGCAAUGCACUCCAUUUGUUUCUUAAUAUUCUUUUUGGUAGAGUUAGCGAAAGGUUUGUCAGAUUUGGAUGCACUUUUGGAUUUAAAAAGAGGAAUUCAGGAUAACCCAUCAGGGAACGUUCUCCUAUCAUGGGAUUCCAAAUCAAUGUCGUCUGAUGGUUGUCCGAUGAAUUGGAAUGGAAUUGAGUGUGUUAACGGCAGUGUCACAUCCAUCAUUCUUGAUGGCUUCAAUCUGUCUGGCGAAUUCAAUCUCUCUGCCAUUUCUCGUCUUAAUAUGCUACAAAAUCUGUCAAUUUCCAACAAUCAAUUCACUGGAAAUGUUAUGGAACAACAACUAGAUGGUUCAUCAAUUGGUUCGUUGCAAUUCGUUGAUCUUUCCUGUAAUCAAUUCCAUGGAUCAAUAUCUUCAUUGUCCAGUUUGAAAAACUUGAUGCUUCUAAAUCUUUCCUUAAACAAUUUUCAAGACCCAAUCCCUUCUGAUCUAGGAAAACUAGCAAACCUCAAGUAUCUUGAUCUGAAAUCAAAUGGGUUUUCCAGCAAUGUGAUGAGUCUUCUAUCACAGUUAGGUGGUUUGGUUUAUGUUGAUCUAAGCUACAACAGGUUUAAUGGCUUCCUAGACCUUGGCCUUGGAAAUUCAACUUUUAUUUCUACAAUCCAAUAUUUGAACGUCAGCCAUAACAACUUAGAUGGGCAGCUCUUUUCCCAUAACGAAGUUCCAUAUCUAGACAGCUUACAGGUUUUCGAUGGAAGUAAUAAUGGGUUUUUCGGGAAAGUUCCUCCUUUCAAUCUUGUCGUGUCUCUUCAGAUUCUGUUGCUUGGUAGCAAUCGCUUGAAUGGAUCUCUGCCAUUAGGUCUUUUACAAGAAAGCUCGAUGGUCUUGUCUGAAUUGGAUCUCAGCUUUAAUCAGCUUCAAGGUCCAAUUGGUAACAUUAUUACAUCACCAACUUUAAGGAAACUGAAUUUAUCGAAUAAUAAGCUGUCAGGCACGUUACCAAUCAGGGUCGGUCACUGUGCGAUCAUUGAUCUGAGCAACAACUUGUUGUCGGGUAGCCUUUCCCGGAUUCAGGGCUGGGGAAACUAUGUCGAGGUUAUCAAUUUGAGUUCAAAUUUACUAACCGGAGCCUUACCAAAUCAAACUUCGCAGUUCCUGAGGUUGCUUUCCUUAAUCGUAUCAAACAAUUCAUUAUCGGGUAUUAUCCCGCCCAUUUUAACUCAAUACCCCGAAUUACAAGUUAUUGAUCUUAGCCAUAACCGUCUUAACGGUCCACUUCUUCCAAUCAUGUUCAACUCAACUGUGUUGAUUGAUAUUAACCUCUCUAAUAACAAUUUCACCGGUCCUCUUCCUUUUCAACCGGUUGACUUGAGUCAGAAUCUAACCCUUGUAUCUCUUGAUCUAUCGUUUAAUGAAUUGAGCGGUCCUUUACCUCGAGAAAUAGGAGAUUUCCAUAGCUUGGCAUACCUCGAUAUCUCGUUUAAUCAGCUCGAUGGUGUUAUCCCGGAUGAUCUCUCGAGCCAAUUGAAAAGUCUGAAUUUGUCUUACAACAACUUUAGCGGUGAUGUGCCUGAAAACUUACUGCGGUUUCCCGAUUCAUCGUUUCACCCGGGAAACUCGUUUCUGGUUCUUCCUUCAAAUUCCUCUUCAGCAAGUUUGAAUUCGGGAAAGCAUAAAGCUUUUUGGAAAUCUGCAGUAAGAACUGCCAUCAUCGCAGGAUUGGUAGUCGGGUUUUCGAUCUUAAUAAUGUUAAUGGUUCUAUUAAUCUAUUUCAGAAGCCGUCAGAAACAGUAUAAUAAUCCAGGUAGUAAAGAGAUUCUAGAAGAGGAUUCUAUUCAGUCUCCGAAAUCAGAACUACAGGUGGCAACGAGAAGUGUUGAAGGGUUGCCGCCGCCGUCGUCUUCUUCGAUGUCAUUCAUUGAAUCGACGAACCCAGAUCCAUCAAACGGUGAUGAUUGUACGCCGGACAAGCUCGCCGGAGAUCUGCAUCUGUUUGACAGCUCUUUAUCGUUUAGUGCGGAGGAGCUUUCUCGUGCUCCGGCCGAACUUAUAGGGAGGAGCUGUCAUGGGAUGCUGUAUAAGGCAGUCCUGAGUUCGGAUCGGAUUCUAGCUGUGAAAUGGUUGAAAGAAGGAAUCGCGAAAGGGAAGAAGGAAUUUGUUCGUGAAGCGAAGAAACUCGGGAAUAUUCAUCAUCCUAAUUUGGCACCCCUUCGCGGUUAUUACUAUGGGCCGAAGGAUCACGAGAAUCUCAUCGUAUCGGAUUUCAUAUCCGCCCCUUGUUUAGCGCUCUAUCUUCAUGAGACAAGUCCUAGACAGCUCCGACCGAUAUCUCUACAAGACAGGGUUAAGAUCGCCGUAGAUAUUUCCCGAUGUCUGAACUACCUCCACGUGGAAAGAGCCAUACCACAUGGAAACUUAAAAUCGACGAACGUCUUGAUUCAAACAACGUCAGGUCCGACAGCCAUACUUACCGAUUACAGUCUUCACCGGUUAUUGACUCCGACGGGUACGGCUGAGCAAGUAUUGACUGCGGGUGCGCUAGGUUAUCGGCCACCUGAAUUUGCGAAUACGAGUAGGCCGUGUCCGUCGGUUAAGAGUGACGUUUACGCUUUUGGGGUGAUUCUUCUGGAGCUCUUAACGGGGAGAAGUUCGUCGGAGAUUGUGUCGGCGGAGACUGGAGUUGUUGAUUUGACGGAGUGGGUUAGGUAUUUGGCGGCGGAGAGUCGGUCUUUUGAGUGCUUUGACGACAGCUUGAGUGUGGAUGCUGAUCGUUUGUACAGAGAGAUGGAUCGGGUGCUUGAGGUGGCUUUGAGUUGCAUACUUACGGCAUCGGAAAGGCCUGAUAUGAAAACUGUCUUUGAACAUCUUUCGGCCAUUGAAAUCGGUGGAUCAUCCGCCGCCGCCGCCGCUUCUCCGGCGACGACGACGGAGUAGAAGAUGAAGAAGAAGCGAGGAUCCAGGAACUCCCAACGUCGGAACGCCAUCUUCAUCGCUUCAGGGAUAGCAGACGUCGGGGAGAAGGGAAGCAGACGUAUUGUCGAGGGCUAAGUUCGGCAUUUGCUUGGACGACUCGUUGGGGAUGAUCGGCGUUUGCUUAGACGACUCGUUGGGGAUGAUCGGCGUUUGCUUAGACGACUCGUUGGGAUGCCUCGUUGCGCUGAGAGAGAAUAAGAGAGGAGAGAGUGGCCGAAGAAAAGAAAGAGAAAUAAGAAGACAUUUAUUUGAGGGUAAAUUAGUCUUUUGCAAUGGGCAAAAGAUCAAUUUUACAAAAGUUAACUUCCCGUGUUAUGUUUAAAUUUCCUUGUGUAUAAGGGAAAUCUCUAGUGAAUCAAAUUA